This 1342-nucleotide ribosomal RNA is filed under the name uncultured bacterium. RNAcentral's name for it is "16S ribosomal RNA". It matches the Rfam family "Bacterial small subunit ribosomal RNA", at positions 28 to 1378 of the family's 1533-position model. The record is from RNAcentral.
GACGAACGCUGGCGGCGUGCUUAACACAUGCAAGUCGAACGGAAAGGCCCUGCUUUUGUGGGGUGCUCGAGUGGCGAACGGGUGAGUAACACGUGAGUAACCUGCCCUUGACUUUGGGAUAACUUCAGGAAACUGGGGCUAAUACCGGAUAGGAGCUCCUGCUGCAUGGUGGGGGUUGGAAAGUUUCGGCGGUUGGGGAUGGACUCGCGGCUUAUCAGCUUGUUGGUGGGGUAGUGGCUUACCAAGGCUUUGACGGGUAGCCGGCCUGAGAGGGUGACCGGCCACAUUGGGACUGAGAUACGGCCCAGACUCCUACGGGAGGCAGCAGUGGGGAAUAUUGCACAAUGGGCGGAAGCCUGAUGCAGCAACGCCGCGUGCGGGAUGACGGCCUUCGGGUUGUAAACCGCUUUCGCCUGUGACGAAGCGUGAGUGACGGUAAUGGGUAAAGAAGCACCGGCUAACUACGUGCCAGCAGCCGCGGUGAUACGUAGGGUGCGAGCGUUGUCCGGAUUUAUUGGGCGUAAAGGGCUCGUAGGUGGUUGAUCGCGUCGGAAGUGUAAUCUUGGGGCUUAACCCUGAGCGUGCUUUCGAUACGGGUUGACUUGAGGAAGUAGGGGAGAAUGGAAUUCCUGGUGGAGCGGUGGAAUGCGCAGAUAUCAGGAGGAACACCAGUGGCGAAGGCGGUUCUCUGGGCCUUUCCUGACGCUGAGGAGCGAAAGCGUGGGGAGCGAACAGGCUUAGAUACUCUGGUAGUCCACGCUGUAAACGGUGGGUACUAGGUGUGGGGUCCAUUCCACGGGUUCCGUGCCGUAGCUAACGCUUUAAGUACCCCGCCUGGGGAGUACGGCCGCAAGGCUAAAACUCAAAGGAAUUGACGGGGCCCCGCACAAGCGGCGGAGCAUGCGGAUUAAUUCGAUGCAACGCGUAGAACCUUACCUGGGUUUGACAUGGAUCGGGAGUGCUCAGAGAUGGGUGUGCCUCUUUUGGGGUCGGUUCACAGGUGGUGCAUGGCUGUCGUCAGCUCGUGUCGUGAGAUGUUGGGUUAAGUCCCGCAACGAGCGCAACCCUUGUUCACUGUUGCCAGCACGUUAUGGUGGGGACUCAGUGGAGACCGCCGGGGUCAACUCGGAGGAAGGUGGGGAUGACGUCAAGUCAUCAUGCCCCUUAUGUCCAGGGCUUCACGCAUGCUACAAUGGCUGGUACAGAGAGUGGCGAGCCUGUGAGGGUGAGCGAAUCUCGGAAAGCCGGUCUCAGUUCGGAUUGGGGUCUGCAACUCGACCUCAUGAAGUCGGAGUCGCUAGUAAUCGCAGAUCAGCAACGCUGCGGUGAAUACGUUCCCGGG